Molecule: ribosomal RNA, 466 nt
Filed under: uncultured bacterium
Lineage: Bacteria
Description: partial 16S ribosomal RNA
Rfam family: Bacterial small subunit ribosomal RNA
Source: RNAcentral
GACGAACGCUGGCGGCGCGCCUAACACAUGCAAGUCGAACGAGCGAGAGAGAGCUUGCUUUCUCGAGCGAGUGGCGAACGGGUGAGUAACGCGUGAGGAACCUGCCUCAAAGAGGGGGACAACAGUUGGAAACGACUGCUAAUACCGCAUAAGCCCACGGCCCGGCAUCGGGUAGAGGGAAAAGGAGCAAUCCGCUUUGAGAUGGCCUCGCGUCCGAUUAGCUAGUUGGUGAGGUAACGGCCCACCAAGGCGACGAUCGGUAGCCGGACUGAGAGGUUGAACGGCCACAUUGGGACUGAGACACGGCCCAGACUCCUACGGGAGGCAGCAGUGGGGAAUAUUGCACAAUGGGGGAAACCCUGAUGCAGCGACGCCGCGUGGAGGAAGAAGGUCUUCGGAUUGUAAACUCCUGUUGUUGAGGAAGAUAAUGACGGUACUCAACAAGGAAGUGACGGCUAACUACGUG